RNAcentral lists this ribosomal RNA (429 nucleotides) under uncultured bacterium. Its description in RNAcentral is "bacterial SSU rRNA". It matches the Rfam family "Bacterial small subunit ribosomal RNA", at positions 355 to 775 of the family's 1533-position model. The record is from RNAcentral.
UGAGGAAUAUUGCGCAAUGGGGGCAACCCUGACGCAGCAACGCCGCGUGAGUGAGGAAGGUUUUCGGACCGUAAAGCUCUGUCGAGCGGGAAGAAAUGCAUGGUGGCUAAUAUCCAUCAUACUUGACGGUACCGCUGAAGGAAGCACCGGCUAACUCCGUGCCAGCAGCCGCGGUAAUACGGGGGGUGCGAGCGUUGUUCGGAAUUAUUGGGCGUAAGGAGCGUGUAGGCGGCCGAAUAAGUCAGAUGUGAAAUCCCUGGGCUUAACCCAGGACGUGCAUUUGAAACUAUUCGGCUAGAGUAGGGGAGAGGAAAGUGGAAUUCCUGGUGUAGAGGUGAAAUUCGUAGAUAUCAGGAGGAACACCGGUGGCGAAGGCGACUUUCUGGCCCUAUACUGACGCUGAGACGCGAGAGCGUGGGUAGCAAACAG